Molecule: ribosomal RNA, 420 nt
Filed under: Fusobacteriota bacterium
Lineage: Bacteria; Fusobacteriati; Fusobacteriota
Description: Fusobacteria bacterium partial 16S ribosomal RNA
Rfam family: Bacterial small subunit ribosomal RNA
Source: RNAcentral
UGGGGGAUAUUGCACAAUGGGCGAAAGCCUGAUGCAGCGACGCCGCGUGGGGGAUGAAGGCCUUCGGGUUGUAAACUUCUUUUGCUCUGAACAAGGCAUGCCUUUGGGGUGUGUUGAGUGUAGGGGUUGAUUAGCGCCGGCUAACUACGUGCCAGCAGCCGCGGUAAUACGUAGGGCGCGAGCGUUGUCCGGAAUUAUUGGGCGUAAAGGGCUUGUAGGUGGCUGGUUGCGUCUGUCGUGAAAGCUCAUGGCUUAACUGUGGGUUUGCGGUGGGUACGGGCUGGCUUGAGUGCAGUAGGGGAGGCUGGAAUUCCUGGUGUAGCGGUGGAAUGCGCAGAUAUCAGGAGGAAUACCGGUGGCGAAGGCGGGUCUCUGGGCUGUUACUGACGCUGGGGAGCGAAAGCGUGGGGAGCGAACAGG